GACGAACGCUGGCGGCGUGCCUAAUACAUGCAAGUAGGACGCAGUUGCGAACGGGUGAGUAACGCGUAGGUACCUGCCUAUUCGAGGGGGAUAACUAUUGGACACGAUAGCUAAUACCGCCUACUAGUAGAUGGACCUGCGUUGUAUUAGGUAGUAGGUAGGGUAAUGGCCUACCUAGGCGACGAUACAUAGCCGACCGGAGAGGGUGAUCGGCCAAACUGGGACUGGGACACGGCCCAGACUCCUACGGGAGGCAGCAGUAGGGAAUCUUCGGCAAUGGGGGGAACCCUGAACGAGCAACGCCGCGGGAGUGAAGAAGGUUUUCGGAUCGUAAAGCUCUGGUGUUAAGGAAGCGGUACUUAACCAGAAAGGGACGGCUAACUACGUGCCAGCAGCCGCGGUAAUUC
This 407-nucleotide ribosomal RNA is filed under the name uncultured bacterium. RNAcentral's name for it is "partial 16S ribosomal RNA". It matches the Rfam family "Bacterial small subunit ribosomal RNA", at positions 28 to 526 of the family's 1533-position model. The record is from RNAcentral.